UGCCUUGCCUCAAUCUUUAUCAUUGGCUCUCGCGAUGACUUGGCUCUACGAGGGGAAAGACGGGAUGACUUAGCUCUACGAGGGGAUAGACAUGAUGACUUUGCUCUACGAGGGGAUAGACAUGAUGACUUAGCUCUACGAGGGGAUAGACAGCCAAGCUUCAUAAUCUUUUGGGCCUUCAUAACGCGCCUCUUUGCAGCUAAGAAGCUCUUUAAUGGGGGCACAGGAGCAUGAUGAUGGCCAUUAAGGGAACAGUAUGUGUAUGGGCAAACCUUCAUAGCUGAAGUUCCUUCAGAUUCUGUCGCCCCACUGCUAAGUUCAAGGUACGUUGGAAAUUUCGAGUCUUUCAAAGUUGAAGAACAUGUUGGUUUCUGAACAUCAAAUUCUUCACACAAAGCAAUAGGGGAGUAUUUCUUUGUGGAAGCUCUUGCUGGUUUGAAACUAGGAGUCUUUGUCAAGGUCCUCACUAGUUUCAAAUUAGAUGUUCUAGCUAGCCCUCCUACUGUUUUAUAAUCAGAAUCUGAGCUAUGCCUUGAGUUGUUUGAUUUCAUUGGACUCACAGUACUCUUCCUAAUCACAACACUCUGAGGAGUUUGAGGACUAACCUGAGACUGCUCUUUCCGCGCAUCAAAACAGCUUGUAGACUUCAUAUAAUUUGGUGAUUCCUCUGGAGCUUUGACAGGAGAUUGCCUCAGAGGAGUGGCUGCCCUGGUUUUGACAUGAUCAGAAGUUGGUGGCUUGCCAGUCUGU
This 750-nucleotide long non-coding RNA is filed under the name Daucus carota (carrot). Its description in RNAcentral is "long non-coding RNA (DCAR_LNC000646)". Lineage: Eukaryota; Viridiplantae; Streptophyta; Magnoliopsida; Apiales; Apiaceae. The record is from RNAcentral.